Molecule: ribosomal RNA, 253 nt
Filed under: uncultured bacterium
Lineage: Bacteria
Description: partial 16S ribosomal RNA
Rfam family: Bacterial small subunit ribosomal RNA
Source: RNAcentral
UACAUAGGAUGCAAGUGUUAUUUGGAAUAAUUGGGCGUAAAGCGUAUGUUGGUGGCUUUUUAAGUCCACCGUCAAAUACCAAGACUCAACCCUAGACAGGCAGUGGAAACUACUAAGUUGGACUACGAUAGAGGUAAAGGGGAUUUUCGGUGGAACGGUAAAAUACGUAGAGAUCGAAAAGAACACCAACGGUAAAAGCACUCUGCUGGGCUGACAUUGACAUAAAGAGACGAAAACUAGGGGUGUGAAUGAG